GACAACCUGCAGUGCCUUAGCUGUGGCGGAACAUCACUAAAGAACUGGCCCAGGAUGGUAGACUUUAUAUGUUUCUCAAAACACCACAUUACACACAAAGUCAUAGACCUGAAUACAAUUAAGGACACCACACACAGUUCAUACAAGCCUCCACAGCUCCAUGCUUAAGCCAAUCUUAAGGAAAAUAAGAAGUCAGACACAGCACAAAGUGAAUCUUGCAGAGUCUAAAAUUUUACUAGAAUCAGUAACCUGCUGGUGAAAUCCUGAUUUGAGCGUGCCCAAGUCAAAUGAGAGCGAAGCAGUGUGUGUGAUCUGGAUUCUAAAACAGUUCAAGAAACAGAAGUGAUAAGAUGUAGCACAGUACCUUCGUUACUCCCUAUGAUCUCACCCUCUCGCAAACAACAGUGGUCUCCCAGCCGCCCUGUAGCAGGACUGGGCACUGCACUGCAAGCAGCUGGACAAACACCUACUGUAACUGAACAGGAGGCUAUCUUGUCUGACUUCCCUCCGCUCCCCUUUUCACAAUCUGGUUUCUUAAAGGAAAUCAGAUUUAGGCAAUCGCUUUGUGCGGGCAGGAGCCUGACGGAUGUGCGUAUGCACAUGUGGACGUCUGUCUGUCUGACUGCACUGACACCUUCUCAGCCCAUCAGCCAAUUUCAAUCACGUCUGAGAGAAAAGAGAAGAGAAGAGAAGAGAAGAGAAGAGAAGAGAAGAGAAGAGAAGAGAAGAGAAGAGAAGAGAAGAGAAGAGAAGAGAAGAGAAGAGAAGAGAAGAGAAGAGAAGAGAAGAGAAGAGAAGAGAAGAGAAGAGAAGAGAAGAGAAGAGAAGAGAAGAGAAGAGAAGAGAAGAGAAGAGAAGAGAAGAGAAGAGAAGAGAAGAGAAGAGAAGAGAAGAGAAAGCAGGCAUUUGGGUCGUUGAAAGUUUCAUGAGAGCAGGCUGCAGCACACAGAGCAGUGCCUCCCCAGAGGGACAGGCUAUGUAUCCUAUUGGAUGCCAGUGAAAUCCCAGAGAAAGAAUCGUGCUGCUGCUCUCCUGCCCACAGGAAAACCUCCAGCCAGAGGUCACAGCCAGCCAAAGAUGACCGGAUUUCUUCCGCUCAAGUGUUCAGAGAAGAGCUUACACUGAAUCCAUCGCUACUAUUUAAGUGGUGCUCUGAACAGAG
Long non-coding RNA from Gallus gallus (chicken), 1162 nucleotides. RefSeq lists it as uncharacterized. The record is from RefSeq and is a predicted model, not a curated record. The transcript is spliced from 2 exons. NCBI's taxonomy places the organism in Eukaryota, Metazoa, Chordata, Aves, Galliformes, Phasianidae.